AGAGUUUGAUCCUGGCUCAGGAUGAACGCUGGCGGCGUGCUUAACACAUGCAAGUCGAACGAUGAAGCCCAGCUUGCUGGGUGGAUUAGUGGCGAACGGGUGAGUAACACGUGAGCAACCUGCCCCUGACUCUGGGAUAAGCGCUGGAAACGGUGUCUAAUACUGGAUAUGUCCCAUCACCGCAUGGUGUGUGGGUGGAAAGAUUUUUCGGUUGGGGAUGGGCUCGCGGCCUAUCAGCUUGUUGGUGAGGUAAUGGCUCACCAAGGCGUCGACGGGUAGCCGGCCUGAGAGGGUGACCGGCCACACUGGGACUGAGACACGGCCCAGACUCCUACGGGAGGCAGCAGUGGGGAAUAUCGCACAAUGGGCGCAAGCCUGAUGCAGCAACGCCGCGUGAGGGAUGACGGCCUUCGGGUUGUAAACCUCUUUUAGCAGGGAAGAAGCGAGAGUGACGGUACCUGCAGAAAAAGCACCGGCUAACUACGUGCCAGCAGCCGCGGUAAUACGUAGGGUGCAAGCGUUAUCCGGAAUUAUUGGGCGUAAAGAGCUCGUAGGCGGUUUGUCGCGUCUGCUGUGAAAUUCCGAGGCUCAACCUCGGGCUUGCAGUGGGUACGGGCAGACUAGAGUGCGGUAGGGGAGAUUGGAAUUCCUGGUGUAGCGGUGGAAUGCGCAGAUAUCAGGAGGAACACCGAUGGCGAAGGCAGAUCUCUGGGCCGUAACUGACGCUGAGGAGCGAAAGGGUGGGGAGCAAACAGGCUUAGAUACCCUGGUAGUCCACCCCGUAAACGUUGGGAACUAGUUGUGGGGUCCUUUCCACGGAUUCCGUGACGCAGCUUAACGCAUUAAGU
RNAcentral lists this ribosomal RNA (848 nucleotides) under uncultured bacterium. Its description in RNAcentral is "bacterial SSU rRNA". It matches the Rfam family "Bacterial small subunit ribosomal RNA", at positions 8 to 865 of the family's 1533-position model. The record is from RNAcentral.